UCAAGUACUUAGUCAAAGCCAAUGAUCCUAGGGAAGGAGCUAAUGAGUCACAUUGAAGCUGGUGCAUGCAUGAGGUGCAUUACUGGGCAAAUAUUCCUCUGGCAGUUACCCACUACUCAAUUGUAUAUAUAAUAUGACCGAUUAUGGGUUGAAGUCUAUCUGUAGAGUGAGUGAGCUCACUGCCAAAGGAGAUUUGCCCGGCAAUUCAGCUUUGCAAAUUAAUGUUCAUCAUCCACUCCCAUGUGUUCAUGACCUACUACAUCUAGGUAUACAUGUAUGACCUAAUUAUUGAGAAUAAUGCAUCUGUUAGUUUGCUCAGUACUGAUCGAUGUGGUUUGACUGGUUUCUUAUUCGUGAUUUGAGCUUCAGUUAGAAGGAGGACUGGUCCACAUGAGAUAGCCAUGUAUGUACCUCGAGCUAGCGCUGAGGUUGGAUUUUAUUGUAAACCAAAUCCAACUUGGUUCAAGUAUACAUAUUAUUUUAGGAA
Molecule: long non-coding RNA, 487 nt
Organism: Rosa chinensis
Lineage: Eukaryota; Viridiplantae; Streptophyta; Magnoliopsida; Rosales; Rosaceae
Exons: 2
Source: RefSeq, a predicted model, not a curated record